CCUACGGGAGGCAGCAGUGAGGAAUAUUGGUCAAUGGGCGCGAGCCUGAACCAGCCAAGUCGCGUGAGGGAAGACGGCCCUACGGGUUGUAAACCUCUUUUGCCGGGGAGCAACUGGCGCCACGUGUGGCGCCACUGAGAGUACCCUGCGAAAAAGCAUCGUCAAACGCCGUUCCGGCAGACGCGGUACUACGGAGGAUUCGAGCGUUAUCCGGAUUUAUUGGGUUUAAGGGGUGCGUAGGCGGAGCGUUAAGUCAGUGGUCAAAUUGAGGGGCUCAACCCCUUCCCGCCAUUGAAACUGGCGCUCUUGAGUGGAAGAGAAGUAUGCGGAAUGCGUGGUGUAGCGGUGAAAUGCAUAGAUAUCACGCAGAACCCCGAUUGCGAAGGCAGCAUGCCGGCUUCCUACUGACGCUGAAGCACGAAAGCGUGGGGAUCGAACAGGAUUAGAUACCCGAGUAGUC
RNAcentral lists this ribosomal RNA (460 nucleotides) under uncultured bacterium. Its description in RNAcentral is "partial 16S ribosomal RNA". It matches the Rfam family "Bacterial small subunit ribosomal RNA", at positions 338 to 795 of the family's 1533-position model. The record is from RNAcentral.